This is a non-coding RNA of Doryrhamphus excisus (bluestripe pipefish), 989 nucleotides long. The record is from RefSeq and is a predicted model, not a curated record. NCBI's taxonomy places the organism in Eukaryota, Metazoa, Chordata, Actinopteri, Syngnathiformes, Syngnathidae.
CUCCAAAGAGUGAUUUGCCGUGGCACAGCAGGACAUAGGGAAUAUCCAUCCAACAAAUCGAGCGCACUCCGUCCUGCUACCGAACUUGUCCUCUGUGAGCUCCGUAGCAUUGCAUUAAAACGUCAAAAUCGGCGAUCUUUUCCAACACUGGAGCACAACGGGAAUGUGUUUGGCAGCGUCGAUUAAUAAUAAAACAGCAACGGACGACGAUAAAUUCCGUCCGAUUGUCCGACGAAGCGGCCAGGCCACAGUCGAAGAUUAGUCCGCUCCAGAAGGCAAACAGCGACCGACUCUCAGCUUAGGCAGACCCCUCCAACACACGCCCCCAACGGGAAAAAAACCCCAAAGGAAACCAAAAGACGCUAUCAUUUGACGGGUGCAAACACAGGAAACCAUAUUAAUCAUCAGAACUAAUCUGGCUCCUGCGUUUGGAAGGCUGUGCUUUUCCCCCAGUCCGCCGCCUCGCCGCUUUUGGUCGGGACAAUUUCAAGAUGGCGAUUUGAGCCGCAACAAGACAGAUUUUUGUGAAGAGCAAGAUGACCGUCAAGAUGGGAGGAAGUGUUGUUCGGAGGAAGGCCGGAAAGACGUGUUUUCCAUUUGGAGAAAAGCGCUGCUCCUGAUGUGUUAAGGACACGGCCAACAGAACCAGCAGUUCCGGCGUCUGCACCUGGAACCCAUUGAAUCAGACACACUCCAACCUGGCGAGGGACCAACUCCACGGCGCGGGGGGAAUUACUCGGUGUUGUGUGGAGUGAUGUCUCACAGGAUUACAGAGUGACAUUUCUGUCCUGGUGAAGCUUCUGGCGUCUGCGGAGGAACCCAAACAGAACUCGUCGCUCAUCCAUACCUUCAAAGAAGCUCAGGGAUGUCAGGAGGCCUAAGCUCCCAAUAUGGACACACUAUGGACGUGCAGUCGGGUGGGGGGGCAAGAAAAGAAAACAAGCUUACAGUUGUGAACAUCCAACGUUUUGGCAUGACUACUAUUUGAU